GGGGGGGGCAAGCGUUUGUUCGGAAUUACUGGGCGUAAAGGGCGUGUAGGCGGUCCCGCAAGUCUUUCGUGAAAUCCCACAGCUCAACUGUGGAACUGCGAGGGAAACUGCAGGACUUGAGUCCGGGAGAGGAGAGUGGAAUUCCCAGUGUAGCGGUGAAAUGCGUAGAUAUUGGGAGGAACACCGGUGGCGAAGGCGGCUCUCUGGACCGGUACUGACGCUGAGGCGCGAAAGCUAGGGGAGCAAACGGGAUUAGAUACCCCGGGUAGUCCUAGCCUUAAACGAUGAGCACUUGGUGUGGCGGGUAUCGACCCCCCCUGCCCGUGCCGAAGCUAACGCAUUAAGUGCUCCGCCUGGGGAGUACGGUCGCAAGGCUG
RNAcentral lists this ribosomal RNA (377 nucleotides) under uncultured organism. RNAcentral's name for it is "partial 16S ribosomal RNA". It matches the Rfam family "Bacterial small subunit ribosomal RNA", at positions 527 to 896 of the family's 1533-position model. The record is from RNAcentral.